This 475-nucleotide ribosomal RNA is filed under the name Habronychus sp. UPOL 001311. RNAcentral describes it as "partial 16S ribosomal RNA". Lineage: Eukaryota; Metazoa; Arthropoda; Insecta; Coleoptera; Cantharidae. The record is from RNAcentral.
CAUGUCUUUUUGAUAAAAAUAUAAAGUCUAGUCUGCUCAAUGAAUAUAAAAAUUUAAAUAGCUGCAGUAUUUUGACUGUACAAAGGUAGCAUAAUAAUUAGUUUUUUAAUUGAAAGCUGGAAUGAAGGAUUGGACGAGAAAAUUACUGUCUCAAUUUUAAAAAUUGAAUUUAACUUUUAAGUUAAAAGGCUUAAAUUUUUUUAAAAGACGAGAAGACCCUAUAGAGUUUUAUAGUUAAUAUAUUUUAAUAUAUUUAGAAUUAUUAAAAUUUAAAUUUAUAUUAAUUAUUUGGUUGGGGUGAUUAAAAAAUUUAUUAAACUUUUUUAUUUUAAAAAUUAUUUAUUUAUAAAUUAAUUUUCUAUAGAUUAUUAAAUUUAAAAUAAAUUACCUUAGGGAUAACAGCGUAAUAUAUUUUUAAAGUUCUUAUUUAAAAAUUUGUUUGCGACCUCGAUGUUGGAUUAAAAUUUAUUAUUGG